Molecule: non-coding RNA, 108 nt
Organism: Erinaceus europaeus (western European hedgehog)
Lineage: Eukaryota; Metazoa; Chordata; Mammalia; Eulipotyphla; Erinaceidae
Source: Rfam
GUGCUUGCUUCAGCAACACAUAUACUAAAAUUGGAAUGCUACAGAGAAGAUUAGCAUGGCCCCUGCACAAAAAAUGAGAUCUCUCAAGAUCAUAAGCUUUUUUUUUUU